AAUCAACGCUGGCGGCGUGCCUCAGACAUGCAAGUCGAACGCGAAAGUUUCCUUCGGGAGACAAGUAGAGUGGCGCACGGGUGAGUAACACGUAGGUAAUCUACCUUUGGAUGGGGAAUAACAACCGGAAACGGUUGCUAAUACCGCAUAAUGCAGCGGCACCUAAUGGUGACAGUUGUUAAAGCGGGGGAUCGAAAGACCUCGCGUCUGAAGAGGAGCCUGCGGCGGAUUAGCAGUUGGUAAGGUAAUGGCUUACCAAGGCUACGAUCCGUAACCGGCCUGAGAGGGCGGUCGGUCACACUGACACUGACAUACGGGUCAGACUCCUACGGGAGGCAGCAGUCGGGAAUUUUGGGCAAUGGGCGAAAGCCUGACCCAGCAACGCCGCGUGAAGGAUGAAAUCCCUCGGGAU
This 412-nucleotide ribosomal RNA is filed under the name uncultured bacterium. Its description in RNAcentral is "bacterial SSU rRNA". It matches the Rfam family "Bacterial small subunit ribosomal RNA", at positions 32 to 424 of the family's 1533-position model. The record is from RNAcentral.